ACGUAGGGGGCAAGCGUUAUCCGGAAUUAUUGGGCGUAAAGAGUGCGUAGGUGGUUUUUUAAGCGUGAGGUGAAAGGCAAUAGCUUAACUAUUGUAAGCCUUGCGAACUGGAAGACUUGAGUGCAGGAGAGGAAAGUGGAAUUCCUAGUGGAGCGGUGAAAUGCCUGAAGAUUAGGAGGAAAACCAGAGGCGUAGGCGACAUUCAGGACUAUAUCCGACACUGAGGCACGAAACUGUGGGCAACAAACAG
This 250-nucleotide ribosomal RNA is filed under the name uncultured prokaryote. RNAcentral describes it as "partial 16S rRNA". It matches the Rfam family "Bacterial small subunit ribosomal RNA", at positions 525 to 775 of the family's 1533-position model. The record is from RNAcentral.